GGGAAACAGCUGAGCUAAUACGUGGCUUCUAACCAUGUAAAGAGGGGUUUAAUUCCCUUCGUCACCCU
Molecule: transfer RNA, 68 nt
Filed under: Anodontites trapesialis
Lineage: Eukaryota; Metazoa; Mollusca; Bivalvia; Unionida; Mycetopodidae
Description: tRNA-Ser
Source: RNAcentral